Molecule: long non-coding RNA, 2714 nt
Organism: Triticum dicoccoides
Lineage: Eukaryota; Viridiplantae; Streptophyta; Magnoliopsida; Poales; Poaceae
Exons: 4
Source: RefSeq, a predicted model, not a curated record
GGUGGCACAGAUGUAGGGCUACGGUGGCGGGUUCAUAUGUAGGGCAGCGGCAGCGGGUACAACCGUCUUAGGGAGAUCCUCUUCUCAUAUCAUGCCCUAGUUGUUACUCCUCCAUUGGCUCGCCUCUCACCAUCUAUUCUACAAUAGCGUGGUGGCUGCGGGAACAGGUGCAACACGACGAUCUGUGGGUGCACCGGCUCUAGGAGGACCAUGGGCUUGAUAGCUGGGUCCGACAUCCCUGUGGCGAUCAGAGAUGGUGGUGUAUGGAAGUGGCCCGUGGUGGGCAGGGAACAAUGUGGCCCUGUUGUUGUCCUCCUUGUUCAGCUUGACAUGACCGUCGUUCAGCUUGACAUGACUGUCGUUCAGCUGAAAACAAGAUUACAUGAGGACGAUUAAACUGGAGCAUAAAUGCACAAUACAUCUGCAAUGUGAUUUUUCUAAAUGGAAUUAAUUUUGUGGAGCUUGCAUCCCUUCUGUUAGUAGUUUGUAAAUAACAUGAAUCCAGUUUUAUACAGAAGCAAGUGAUAGGCGAGUGGAGAAAGACAGUUCGCCCACUAAUAUGGCACUGUCGAACAUUAGAAUUGCAUAUGAAGGAUAUUUCAUCGCAAAUAGCACAGUAUGAAAUGGACUUGCUUUAAUUAGUCUCGAAAAAGAUCUGCACCCAGUGAUUAAAGAAGAUAGUUCUGAUCCAGAAUUAGCACAACUGACUAUCCAAAGCCACCUACACAUUUUGCACUGAGCUUGUACUGAUACUUGGCAGUAAUGACGUGUAUCCUUUUGCAGAAAACAAAAACAAAACAGUGGGGCUGAAACAUAUGGUUUUUUGAUUUAUGAUGGUGCAGAUCUUGGAAACAAUUCAACUGGGCACCAUGGCGCUGAAUUCAAGUACAACUUCUUGCCGGAAAGCUCUUAUAUAUGAUCUCUUGAAUCUCGACAACAAAAAUGGACCAUCUUGCGUCUUACUCCAGUCAGUUACAACCUAACAAUCAGAAAUUGUGAUGGAUAUGAGUCUUGUUUACGCAUUAGAGUAAAUGCACGAAGAACUGAUGAAUGAGAAGAUAUUUUCAGAGAACCAUCUAUGCUACGUGCAAUGCUGGUUUGAUAAUUUUUCGCAUGUCUCGUGCAUGACACCAUCGCAUUCAUCGGCCUCCACUUGUGCGCCAAUCUAUGAUGCCUGCGCUCGCGGUGUCAGGUCACGCUCUGCUGCAAUUGUGCAUGCUGCCUCUACGCGGCCCCAUCAAGGAAUACAGCCCAGCUGAGAUUUUUCAUAUCAUCUCUACCAUGGCGGCAUCGUUGCAAGAGAUUCAGGUAAAGAUUAUCCCUGUUUUCUAUGCUAUAUUAAGUUACUAAGGUGAUGUCCUCCUAGCCUUGAGCAUGUUCAUCUGACUAAUCUUUGCUACUACAUUUCUUAGCUAAUGUCCUCUGCCUGGAUCAUGUUCAUCUUAUUAACAAAGGCUUGGCCAUCAUGUAUUUGUAGCUGGUGAAUUGGAUAUAUAUUACUCCAGUUUGCAUGAGAACAACCGCUUAUACCGUUAUAUGUAUGCCUCGAUAGUAUAGUAGGAUUGCUUGGAUUAUUUCUAUAGUACUUUGUCCAGUUUCUCAACUUUUUAAGAGGCUUGCACUGAUCAAAGAAAUCAUGCGCCCUUGGCUUGAUCAAAUGUAUGGUUCGCUAAUUUAUUUUUGAAGUGUGUUCCUCCUACUAUCUUAUUAUUCCAUAGCUAAUUACAUUUUGGAAUCUGAUGGGUGCGAAGUACUUUCACAACAAGAAAGUGCUAAACUUUUGGCAGGGAAAACAUAAAAACAAAAAGGAAAUUGUUUAAGUGUGUGAUGUUGGCCAAUAAGCCACAACGACUGCAUCAGGUAUGCUUGCAUGCACGCGUCGGGUGCGGUCCGGGCCGUGUCGGUUCCGUGUCAGGCAUGCCUGUGUGCUUGUGUGAGUGUGUGUUUUGAAGUGCCUUUUGAGGAUAACAUUUUUAUGCUCUUGGAAAUCAAGAGCUAAGUUUUGGUGUACUGGAAACUAAGAACCCAUUGUCAACUAUCUUGCGGUGAAGUGUUGAAUACUGUGUGGAGGUUAGUGUUGAAAAAGAUGAGUUCAUUUGUGAGUGCAGUAAUUUUGACCACUCUGGUUUGUUGCGCAGCCACGCGCCAAAAGGUAUUACUAAUGCUAUGUUGUGAUUAUCUUACUUGUUCAGUUAAGCAUGAGACUUUGAAAUAUUUGUGUGUUUUUUUAGAAAAGGAGGCUUGCCCUCGGCAAAAAGAUAUCUUUGUGUAGUUAUGAUUUUUUUCCUUAUCCUGCAUGCUUCUGCUUUCCUUUAGAAGAAAUUCAAACACUGUCGCCGAUGUUGCUCUUAGGUAGUGGUGCAUCCGGACGUUGUCAAAAUCUCUCCCAAACCUGUAAUGAAGUGCUCGACAAAGGAUGCUAGCGCUAUAUUGCCUGCUGAAUUUUUCUGAUACCAAAAGGACCAGAGCCAAUCAAAGUCAUCAACAUAUAUACACCCAAACCUGCACCUUAUGGACAUGGGGAUUGUCAAACUCGGUGUCACGAAUGUUGAAGGUUGUACAAUGGCAACGGAUAAGCUGAAGGAGCUUAGAGAAGACCUUGGAACAUAUAUAUGCUACAGUAUAACUGAUGGGGUGGGUUAUGGAAUAUAGAUUAAAGGGUGUCGAUUUUAUGAUUGUACCGACUGAAGUUUUUUCAGGUGGUGUGAUACGUC